GAUGAACGCUGGCGGCGUGCCUAAUACAUGCAAGUCGAGCGAACAGACGAGGAGCUUACUCCUCUGACGUUAGCGGCGGACGGGUGAGUAACACGUGGAUAACCUACCUAUAAGACUGGGAUAACUUCGGGAAACCGGAGCUAAUACCGGAUAACAUGUUGAACCGCAUGGUUCAACAGUGAAAGACGGUCUUGCUGUCACUUAUAGAUGGAUCCGCGUCGCAUUAGCUAGUUGGUAAGGUAACGGCUUACCAAGGCAACGAUGCGUAGCCGACCUGAGAGGGUGAUCGGCCACACUGGAACUGAGACACGGUCCAGACUCCUACGGGAGGCAGCAGUAGGGAAUCUUCCGCAAUGGGCGAAAGCCUGACGGAGCAACGCCGCGUGAGUGAAGAAGGUCUUCGGAUCGUAAAACUCUGUUAUUAGGGAAGAACAAAUGUGUAAGUAACUAUGCACGUCUUGACGGUACCUAAUCAGAAAGCCACGGCUAACUACGUGCCAGCAGCCGCGGUAAUACGUAGGUGGCAAGCGUUAUCCGGAAUUAUUGGGCGUAAAGCGCGCGUAGGCGGUUUUUUAAGUCUGAUGUGAAAGCCCACGGCUCAACCGUGGAGGGUCAUUGGAAACUGGAAAACUUGAGUGCAGAAGAGGAAAGUGGAAUUCCAUGUGUAGCGGUGAAAUGCGCAGAGAUAUGGAGGAACACCAGUGGCGAAGGCGACUUUCUGGUCUGUAACUGACGCUGAUGUGCGAAAGCGUGGGGAUCAAACAGGAUUAGAUACCCUGGUAGUCCACGCCGUAAACGAUGAGUGCUAAGUGUUAGGGGGGUUCCGCCCCUUAGUGCUGCAGCUAACGCAUUAAGCACUCCGCCUGGGGAGUACGACCGCAAGGUUGAAACCCAAAGGAAUUGACGGGGACCCGCACGAGCGGUGGAGCAUGUGGUUUAAUUCGAAGCAACGCGAAGAACCUUACCAAAUCUUGACAUCCUCUGACCCCUCUAGAGAUAGAGUUUUCCCCUUCGGGGGACAGAGUGACAGGUGGUGCAUGGUUGUCGUCAGCUCGUGUCGUGAGAUGUUGGGUUAAGUCCCGCAACGAGCGCAACCCUUAAGCUUAGUUGCCAUCAUUAAGUUGGGCACUCUAAGUUGACUGCCGGUGACAAACCGGAGGAAGGUGGGGAUGACGUCAAAUCAUCAUGCCCCUUAUGAUUUGGGCUACACACGUGCUACAAUGGACAAUACAAAGGGUAGCGAAACCGCGAGGUCAAGCAAAUCCCAUAAAGUUGUUCUCAGUUCGGAUUGUAGUCUGCAACUCGACUACAUGAAGCUGGAAUCGCUAGUAAUCGUAGAUCAGCACGCUACGGUGAAUACGUUCCCGGGUCU
This 1372-nucleotide ribosomal RNA is filed under the name uncultured bacterium. RNAcentral describes it as "bacterial SSU rRNA". It matches the Rfam family "Bacterial small subunit ribosomal RNA", at positions 28 to 1381 of the family's 1533-position model. The record is from RNAcentral.